RNAcentral lists this ribosomal RNA (726 nucleotides) under uncultured bacterium. Its description in RNAcentral is "bacterial SSU rRNA". It matches the Rfam family "Bacterial small subunit ribosomal RNA", at positions 10 to 749 of the family's 1533-position model. The record is from RNAcentral.
AGUUUGAUCCUGGCUCAGAAUCAACGCUGGCGGCGUGCCUCAGACAUGCAAGUCGAACGAUUAAAGCUCUCUUCGGAGAGUGUAUAGAGUGGCGCACGGGUGAGUAACACGUAAGUAAUCUACCUUUGAGUGGGGAAUAACGUUCGGAAACGAACGCUAAUACCGCAUAAUGCAGCGGCACCGCAAGGUGACAGUUGUUAAAGGAGCAAUCCGCUUAAAGAGGAGCUUGCGGCAGAUUAGCUAGUUGGUAAGGUAAUGGCUUACCAAGGCUACGAUCUGUAACCGGUCUUAGAGGACGGUCGGUCACACUGACACUGAAUAACGGGUCAGACUCCUACGGGAGGCAGCAGUCGGGAAUUUUGGGCAAUGGGCGAAAGCCUGACCCAGCAACGCCGCGUGAAGGAUGAAGUAUUUCGGUAUGUAAACUUCGAAAGAAUAGGAAGAAUAAAUGACGGUACUAUUUAUAAGGUCCGGCUAACUACGUGCCAGCAGCCGCGGUAAUACGUAGGGACCAAGCGUUGUUCGGAUUUACUGGGCGUAAAGGGCGCGUAGCGGCUCGGUAAGUCACUUGUGAAAUCUCUGAGCUUAACUCAGAACGGCCAAGUGAUACUGCAGAGCUAGAGUGUAGAAGGGGCAAUCGGAAUUCUUGGUGUAGCGGUGAAAUGCGUAGAUAUCAAGAGGAACACCUGAGGUGAAGACGGGUUGCUGGUCUAACACUGACGCUGA